Molecule: ribosomal RNA, 433 nt
Filed under: uncultured bacterium
Lineage: Bacteria
Description: partial 16S ribosomal RNA
Rfam family: Bacterial small subunit ribosomal RNA
Source: RNAcentral
AACGAACGCUGGCGGCAUGCCUAACACAUGCAAGUCGAACGAGACCUUCGGGUCUAGUGGCGCACGGGUGCGUAACGCGUGGGAACCUGCCCUUAGGUUCGGAAUAACUCCCCGAAAGGGGUGCUAAUACCGGAUAAUGUCUUCGGACCAAAGAUUUAUCGCCUUUGGAUGGGCCCGCGUUGGAUUAGCUAGUUGGUAGGGUAAAAGCCUACCAAGGCGACGAUCCAUAGCUGGUCUGAGAGGAUGAUCAGCCACACUGGGACUGAGACACGGCCCAGACUCCUACGGGAGGCAGUAGUGGGGAAUAUUGGACAAUGGGCGAAAGCCUGAUCCAGCAAUGCCGCGUGAGUGAUGAAGGCCUUAGGGUUGUAAAGCUCUUUUACCCGGGAUGAUAAUGACAGUACCGGGAGAAUAAGCUCCGGCUAACUCCGUG